UGACGGGGGCUGCUCCUAGUACGAGAGGACCGGAGUGGACGAACCUCUGGUGUACCGGUUGUGACGCCAGUCGCAUCGCCGGGUAGCUAAGUUCGGAAGAGAUAAACGCUGAAAGCAUCUAAGCGUGAAACUCGCCUGAAGAUGAGACUUCCCUAGGGAUUUAAUCCCUCUGAAGAGACGUUCGAGACCAGGACGUUGAUAGGUCGGGUGUGGAAGAGUGGUAACACUUGGAGCUAACCGAUACUAAUUGCUCGUGAGGCUUGACUCUAU
This 270-nucleotide ribosomal RNA is filed under the name Snodgrassella alvi. Its description in RNAcentral is "partial 23S ribosomal RNA". It matches the Rfam family "Bacterial large subunit ribosomal RNA", at positions 2663 to 2925 of the family's 2925-position model. The record is from RNAcentral. Lineage: Bacteria; Pseudomonadati; Pseudomonadota; Betaproteobacteria; Neisseriales; Neisseriaceae.